UACGGAGGGUGCGAGCGUUGUCCGGAAUCACUGGGCGUAAAGGGCGCGUAGGUGGCGCGAGAAGUCAACGGUGAAAGCUCGUCGCUCAACGACGAGUCGGCCGUCGAUACUCUCGCGCUGGAGCAUUGUAGAGGCUCAUGGAAUUCCGGGUGUAGCGGUGGAAUGCGUAGAGAUCCGGAAGAACACCGGUGGCGAAGGCGGCAUCCUGGGCCGACACUGACGCUGAGGAGCGAAAGCCAGGGGAGCAAACGGG
Molecule: ribosomal RNA, 253 nt
Filed under: uncultured bacterium
Lineage: Bacteria
Description: partial 16S ribosomal RNA
Rfam family: Bacterial small subunit ribosomal RNA
Source: RNAcentral